This 497-nucleotide ribosomal RNA is filed under the name uncultured bacterium. RNAcentral describes it as "partial 16S ribosomal RNA". It matches the Rfam family "Bacterial small subunit ribosomal RNA", at positions 28 to 507 of the family's 1533-position model. The record is from RNAcentral.
GAUGAACGCUGGCGGCGUGCCUAAUACAUGCAAGUCGAGCGAACAGACGAGGAGCUUGCUCCUCUGACGUUAGCGGCGGACGGGUGAGUAACACGUGGAUAACCUACCUAUAAGACUGGGAUAACUUCGGGAAACCGGAGCUAAUACCGGAUAAUAUAUUGAACCUCAUGGUUCAAUAGUGAAAGUCGGUUUUUCUGUCACUUAUAGAUGGAUCCGCGCCGCAUUAGCUAGUUGGUAAGGUAACGGCUUACCAAGGCAACGAGGCGUAGCCGACCUGAGAGGGUGAUCGGCCACACUGGAACUGAGGCACGGUCCAGACUCCGACGGGAGGCAGCAGUAGGGAAUCUUACGCGAUGGGGGAAAGCCUGAUGGAGCAAAGCCGGGUGAGUGAUGAAGGAGUUCGGACCGGAAAGCUCUGAUGUUAGGAGAGAAGAAAUGUGUAAGUACCCAUGAACGUCUUGACGGUACCGGAUGAGAAAGCCACGGCUAACUACGUG